Papaver somniferum (opium poppy) is the source of this 1075-nucleotide long non-coding RNA. RefSeq lists it as uncharacterized. The transcript is spliced from 6 exons. Lineage: Eukaryota; Viridiplantae; Streptophyta; Magnoliopsida; Ranunculales; Papaveraceae. The record is from RefSeq and is a predicted model, not a curated record.
CUUAUCUUCAAUUGUCAUUGAUAUCCUAUUUCUUUUGCAGGAGAGAGAGAGAUGCUGCAAGAGAAAGCUAUGAAAAUGAAAACUUAAAGCUUGGUUUGAUUUUGAGGGUUUGCUGCUGCUGGUGCUAGAUAGAAUGUGAUGAUAUAGCAAGCCCUAGCUCUACUUUUGAUUUUGAUGGCACUUCGGUCAGUUUCGUGUACUGAUAUUCUCCAUUUAGCACAAAUCAAAGCCAAGCCACCACUCAGUUCCGUGAACUGAGAGGUGCAAUGGUAGGCCACGACUUAGUUCCGUGAACUAAGAGGAGCACUGCUCAGUUCCGUGAACUGAGAGGUGCAGUGGCAGGCCACCGCUUAGUUUCAAACACUUAGAGGUGCAUAGAUAUGGGCUAAACGAAGAAUGUCUGUCGCCAGAGCAGCUUUGGGAUAUGGACUAUAUUAUUCAGCUGCAACUAUUGGAUCACAGCUAAGGAGAGAGAAUUGAUGCUGCAAAAGAAGGCCUUGGAUUUGAAACUCUAUGCUCUAGCUUGUUUGGAUUUUAAUGGGUUGCUGCUGCUGCUGUUGGAAAGGAAGCCGCGAUAUAGCAAACCCAAGCUCUAGAUACUUUCAGAUCUCGGCGACUAAAAAGGCACGCCGGUUAUGUUUGUGUGCUGAUGUCCUCCAUUAAGCACAAGGCAAAUCCAAGCCACCACUCAGUUCUGUGAACUGAGAGGUGCACUGCUCAGUUCCGUGAAUUGAGCAGUGCAAAGGCAGGCCACGGCUUAGUUCCGUGAGCUAAGAGGAGCACUGCUCAGUUCCGUGAACUGAGAGGUGCAAUGGCAGGCCACCAGAUAGUUCCGAUUACUAGAGGUGCAAAGCUAUGUGCUUAAUGGGGAACAUGUCACUCUCCAGAGCAGCUUCGGGAUAUAUACUAUAUGGUUCAGCUGAAACUAUCGAAAAACAGCUAAGUGCGCUUCUCCUUCUUUCUUUUUUUAUUCUCCUUAUUUAUUGGAAGUUUGGUUCAUAGCAAGGCAGUGAUACUCCCUAAUCCCUAUGUAGUUCAGCUACAACUACUGUAACACAGUUAAGUGAGCUUCUCU